CAAAGAAGAAAUUUACGUAACUAUUGAGAUGAAAUUACAGUGUGGACGACGUACAGUGUCUAAUGAAGUAACAAAUCGUACUAACAAUGGUCCAGAGUCUUUUUACAGCUAUUUAUAACACAUGUAUUAUACCCAUCGCUAUCGCUCGGAAAUAAUCCAAUAUAAAUGCCAAACCCAUUUAAAAUGAAAACAAAUCUAUACGGCUGCCAC
RNAcentral lists this long non-coding RNA (210 nucleotides) under Mytilus galloprovincialis (Mediterranean mussel). Lineage: Eukaryota; Metazoa; Mollusca; Bivalvia; Mytilida; Mytilidae. The record is from RNAcentral.